Nicotiana tabacum (common tobacco) is the source of this 972-nucleotide long non-coding RNA. RefSeq lists it as uncharacterized. The record is from RefSeq and is a predicted model, not a curated record. NCBI's taxonomy places the organism in Eukaryota, Viridiplantae, Streptophyta, Magnoliopsida, Solanales, Solanaceae.
CCAAAAAAGACCUACACCCUUUAGACUUGAGAUAACAGCCGCAACGCACGGACUACAAAAAUCCAAGGACAGUAUCGGCGAAAGCAAGAAAAGGAAAAAAGGUUUCUGUCCAACACUAAAGCUAUGAUAAUUAUUAUUUAAACUUUUUUUGGGAAAAGAGAGACAGAGGAUCUCACUUUAUUUUUGCUAAAAAGGGAAAAUCCCAUUUCUUUCCCUUCGUCACCUUACACCUGAGCCUCCAUGACUUCCGUUCCCUUCGUUCUUUUGGACUUUCCAUUUUCACAAUUUUGGACGAAAAAUCUCCUUGUUUCUUCAUCUUCGUACAACCAAAUCAAUAAGGCAGAAAGUAGAUGAUGAUUAAAUUAUCUAAAAGAAAGAUACUGGCAAAUGGGUGAAGGAAAUGGUGUGAUUUUGAUCGGACAAUGAGGUUUCCGGGUUCGGCGAGGUUCUCGUUCGUAGAUCGCGUUCGGUUUGCAAUUUUGGAGCUCUUCUUCAUUGUAAAUAUUUGAAAUUUUCAGCAAUAAAGUUUUGAUUUCAAACUCGAAAUACAUAAUCAAAUUUCAAGUUGUUCUUUUGGUCUUGGAUUCCGAAAUGGGUUGGAGUUAAAACGGGCGCACGAUUGUUGGAGUUGUCGCCCAAGGUGCGGUCCGUCGGUUUUGUUCGAUUUGGAUUUGCUAUUUUGAACCCCAUUCGUAGCUGCAUUAUUCAGUCCAUGGAUGGCUCAAAAUUAUAUUAAUUCAGGUAUGGAUAAAUUUGCUAGAGCUUAAGCAUAACAGAUACCCCAUGACAAUUGCAUUCACGAGCUACUUGAGGAGACUUUUUGUAUUUUGAGCCUGUUUUGAGUCUUUUAGGUGGUUUAAGAGUUGUCGUAGUGUAAUUUAGUUUGUUGAGUCUCUCAUUAUCGUACUAUCUGUUUUGUAUUUGAAAAACCAAAAAAAUUUAUAAAUGAAAAAUCCAAAAAGAUUUAUUUUA